CAGUCGAACGAGAAGCCGGAGCAAUCUGGUGAGUAAAGUGGCGUACGGGUGAGUAACACGUGGAUAAUCUACCUUUUAGUGAGGAAUAACCAUGGGAAACCGUGGCUAAUACCGCAUAAGCUCGAGAGAGGAAAGUCGUAAGACGCUGAAAGAGGAGUCCGCGGCCGAUUAGCUAGUUGGCAGGGUAAAAGCCUACCAAGGCAAAGAUCGGUAGCCGGCCUGAGAGGGCACACGGCCACACUGGCACUGAAACACGGGCCAGACUCCUACGGGAGGCAGCAGUGGGGAAUCUUGCACAAUGGGGGAAACCCUGAUGCAGCGACGCCGCGUGAGCGAUGAAGCCCUUCGGGGUGUAAAGCUCUUUCGGCAGGGAAGAUAGUGACGGUACCUGCAGAAGCAGCUGCGGCUAACUACGUGCCAGCAGCCGCGGUAAUACGUAGGCAGCGAGCGUUGUUCGGAGUUACUGGGCGUAAAGGGUGUGUAGGCGGUUGUUUAAGUUUGGUGUGAAAUCUCCCGGCUCAACUGGGAGGGUGCGCCGAAUACUGAAUGACUUCGAGUGCGGGAGAGGAAAGUGGAAUUCCUGGUGUAGCGGUGAAAUGCGUAGAUAUCAGGAGGAACACCGGUGGUGUAGACGGCUUUCUGGACCGUAACUGACGCUGAGACACGAAAGCGUGGGUAGCAAACAGGAUUAGAUACCCUGGUAGUCCACGCCCUAAACGAUGCAUAUUUGGUGUGGGCGGUUCAUUCUGUCCGUGCCGGAGCUAACGCGUUAAAUAUGCCGCCUGGGGAGUACAGUCGCAAGGCUGAAACUCAAAGGAAUUGACGGGGGCCCGCACAAGCGGUGGAGCAUGUGGUUCAAUUCGACGCAACGCGAAGAACCUUACCUGGGCUCGAACGGCUAGCCAACGAGGGUGGAAACAUCUUUACCCCGCAAGGGGGUCUAGUCGAGGUGCUGCAUGGCGGUCGUCAGCUCGUGUCGUGAGAUGUUGGGUUAAGUCCCGCAACGAGCGCAACCCUUGUCCUGUGUUGCCAUACCGAAAGGUGGAACUCGCAGGAGACCGCCAGCGAUAAGCUGGAGGAAGGUGGGGAUGAC
This 1093-nucleotide ribosomal RNA is filed under the name uncultured bacterium. RNAcentral's name for it is "bacterial SSU rRNA". It matches the Rfam family "Bacterial small subunit ribosomal RNA", at positions 59 to 1183 of the family's 1533-position model. The record is from RNAcentral.